UACAGAGGGUGCAAACGUUGUUCGGAUUUACUGGGCGUAAAGCGCGUGUAGGCUGCUUCGCAAGUCGGAUGUGAAAGCCCUGGGCUCAACCCAGGAAGUGCAUUCGAAACUGCAGAGCUGGAGUCCUGGAGAGGAAGGCGGAAUUCUCGGUGUAGAGGUGAAAUUCGUAGAUAUCAAGAGGAACACCUGAGGUGAAGACGGGUUGCUGGGCCGACACUGACGCUGAGUGCGCGAAAGCCAGGGGAGCAAACGGG
RNAcentral lists this ribosomal RNA (254 nucleotides) under uncultured bacterium. RNAcentral describes it as "partial 16S ribosomal RNA". It matches the Rfam family "Bacterial small subunit ribosomal RNA", at positions 524 to 776 of the family's 1533-position model. The record is from RNAcentral.